This 449-nucleotide ribosomal RNA is filed under the name uncultured bacterium. RNAcentral's name for it is "bacterial SSU rRNA". It matches the Rfam family "Bacterial small subunit ribosomal RNA", at positions 328 to 793 of the family's 1533-position model. The record is from RNAcentral.
CCGCCAGACUCCUACGGGAGGCAGCAGUGGGGAAUAUUGCACAAUGGGGGAAACCCUGAUGCAGCGACGCCGCGUGAGUGAAGAAGUCUUUCGGUAUGUAAAGCUCUAUCAGCAGGGAAGAAAAUGACGGUACCUGAUUAAGAAGCCCCGGCUAACUACGUGCCAGCAGCCGCGGUAAUACGUAGGGGGCAAGCGUUAUCCGGAUUUACUGGGUGUAAAGGGAGCGUAGGCGGCAGGGCAAGCCUGAUGUGAAAGCCCGGGGCUUAACCCCGGGACUGCAUUGGGAACUGCCCCGCUCGAGUGCCGGAGGGGCAGGCGGAAUUCCUAGUGUAGCGGUGAAAUGCGUAGAUAUUAGGAGGAACACCAGUGGCGAAGGCGGCCUGCUGGACGGUGUACUGACGCUGAGGCUCGAAAGCGUGGGGAGCACACAGGAUUAGAUACCCGAGUAA